CGGUACGACGGUAAAAUAGGCACUGCGACAUUCCGGACCAGAUUAAAACGGAGCUAGAAAUAACCGCAAAACCGAUCGACUAAACGAGCCCGAUUGGACGAGGAAUAAAAACCAACGAACUAAAAAAUCACACGGAUAAAACGAAUAAUAAUUAUGCAUAAAUUAGUAUCGGUAUUUAAUUAAUGCUACUGCAGGUAAUAACGAGCACUAAACGGCGUUAUAAAUCGAAUCUAUAUAGACGUGUUAUAAUGAGGUAACCGGGUACGCCGAAUGAAACCGGCAAUAU
Cinara cedri is the source of this 286-nucleotide non-coding RNA. The record is from the annotation of a GenBank genome assembly. NCBI's taxonomy places the organism in Eukaryota, Metazoa, Arthropoda, Insecta, Hemiptera, Aphididae.